CGCGUAGGCGGUCUCGUAAGUCAGGUGUGAAAGCCCGGGGCUCAACCCCGGAAGUGCAUUUGAAACUACAAGACUUGAGUAUGGGAGAGGGAAGUGGAAUUCCUGGUGUAGAGGUGAAAUUCGUAGAUAUCAGGAGGAACACCGGUGGCGAAGGCGACUUCCUGGACCAAUACUGACGCUGAGGCGCGAAGGCGUGGGGAGCAAACA
Molecule: ribosomal RNA, 207 nt
Filed under: uncultured bacterium
Lineage: Bacteria
Description: partial 16S ribosomal RNA
Rfam family: Bacterial small subunit ribosomal RNA
Source: RNAcentral